This 21-nucleotide non-coding RNA is filed under the name Arabidopsis thaliana (thale cress). Lineage: Eukaryota; Viridiplantae; Streptophyta; Magnoliopsida; Brassicales; Brassicaceae. The record is from RNAcentral.
UGUCGUUUUCUCGAUCUGCCU